This 216-nucleotide ribosomal RNA is filed under the name Physalacria cryptomeriae. Its description in RNAcentral is "partial large subunit ribosomal RNA". Lineage: Eukaryota; Fungi; Basidiomycota; Agaricomycetes; Agaricales; Physalacriaceae. The record is from RNAcentral.
AAACGCUUGAAGUCAGUCGCGUUGGCUGGGAAUCAGUCUUGCUUUUGCUUGAUGUACUUUCUAGUCAACGGGUCAGCAUCAGUUUUGACCGCUGGAUAAAGGCUGAGGGAAUGUGGCACCUCCGGGUGUGUUAUAGCCCUCGGUUGUAUACAGUGAUUGGGACUGAGGAUCUCAGGCCGCAAGGCCGUAGGAUGCUGGCAUAAUGGCUUUAAUCGA